GAAUGUGGCCUUCGGGAACCGUGAGACAGGUGCUGCAUGGCUGUCGUCAGCUCGUGUUGUGAAAUGUUGGGUUAAGUCCCGCAACGAGCGCAACCCUUAUCCUUGUUGCCAGCGGUCCGGCCGGGAACUCAAAGGAGACUGCCAGUGAUAAACUGGAGGAAGGUGGGGAUGACGUCAAGUCAUCAUGGCCCUUACGACCAGGGCUACACACGUGCUACAAUGGCGCAUACAAAGAGAAGCGACCUCGCGAGAGCAAGCGGACCUCAUAAAGUGCGUCGUAGUCCGGAUUGGAGUCUGCAACUCGACUCCAUGAAGUCGGAAUCGCUAGUAAUCGUGGAUCAGAAUGCCACGGUGAAUACGUUCCCGGGCCUU
Molecule: ribosomal RNA, 372 nt
Filed under: uncultured Enterobacteriaceae bacterium
Lineage: Bacteria; Pseudomonadati; Pseudomonadota; Gammaproteobacteria; Enterobacterales; Enterobacteriaceae
Description: bacterial SSU rRNA
Rfam family: Bacterial small subunit ribosomal RNA
Source: RNAcentral